GACGUAGGAGGCGAGCGUUGUCCGGAUUCAUUGGGCGUAAAGAGCGCGCAGGCGGCUUGGUAAGUCGGAAGUGAAAACCCGAGGCUCAACCUCGGGCGUGCAUCCGAUACUGCUCGGCUAGAGGUAGGUAGGGGAGAUCGGAAUUCCUGGUGUAGCGGUGAAAUGCGCAGAUAUCAGGAGGAACACCGGUGGCGAAGGCGGAUCUCUGGGCCUUACCUGACGCUCAGGCGCGAAAGCUAGGGGAGCGAACCGG
Molecule: ribosomal RNA, 253 nt
Filed under: uncultured prokaryote
Description: partial 16S ribosomal RNA
Rfam family: Bacterial small subunit ribosomal RNA
Source: RNAcentral